Molecule: long non-coding RNA, 202 nt
Filed under: Brassica napus (rape)
Lineage: Eukaryota; Viridiplantae; Streptophyta; Magnoliopsida; Brassicales; Brassicaceae
Description: long non-coding RNA (BNAP_LNC021202)
Source: RNAcentral
AGACCACAGUAUAUGAAAGUUAUGUGCGAUGAAGAAUUGGUUAUCAUGAAAGUGUUUGCUCACAAAAGAAAGAAUUGUUUUAGAAAAGUUGGGGAAAUCCGCAAAUCUGUUAUUUGGUAUGUACCGAGUUGUUCAGAGUUGAAAUGGUUAUCUGUUGACAUGAACUUCUUUUAGUUAUGCUAUUGGUGAGCCGAUUUUGCGU